This 370-nucleotide ribosomal RNA is filed under the name uncultured bacterium. Its description in RNAcentral is "bacterial SSU rRNA". It matches the Rfam family "Bacterial small subunit ribosomal RNA", at positions 29 to 426 of the family's 1533-position model. The record is from RNAcentral.
AACGAACGCUGGCGGCAGGCCUAACACAUGCAAGUCGAGCGCCCUCUUCGGAGGGAGCGGCGGACGGGUUAGUAACGCGUGGGAACGUGCCCUUUGCUACGGAACAACAGUUGGAAACGACUGCUAAUACCGUAUGUGCCCUACGGGGGAAAGAUUUAUCGGCAAGGGAUCGGCCCGCGUUGGAUUAGGUAGUUGGUGGGGUAACGGCCUACCAAGCCUACGAUCCAUAGCUGGUUUGAGAGGAUGAUCAGCAACACUGGGACUGAGACACGGCCCAGACUCCUACGGGAGGCAGCAGUGGGGAAUCUUGGACAAUGGGGGCAACCCUGAUCCAGCCAUGCCGCGUGAGCGAUGAAGGCCUUAGGGUUGU